GAUGAACGCUAGCGGCAGGCCUAAUACAUGCAAGUCGAACGGUAAGGCCCUUUCGGGGGUACACGAGUGGCGGACGGGUGCGUAACGCGUAUGCAACAUGCCUUCCAGCGGGGGAUAUACCAGGGAAACUUGGCGCAAUACCCCAUAGAAUUACGGGACCGCAUGGUCUUGUGAUUAAAACUCCGGUGCUGGGAGAUUGGCAUGCGUGACAUUAGCUAGUUGGCGGGGUAACGGCCCACCAAGGCGACGAUGUCUAGCUGGUCUGAGAGGAUGAUCAGCCACACUGGGACUGAGACACGGCCCAGACUCCUACGGGAGGCAGCAGUAGGGAAUAUUGGACAAUGGGCGCAAGCCUGAUCCAGCCAUGCCGCGUGCGGGAAGAAGGCCUCGGUGUAACG
Molecule: ribosomal RNA, 398 nt
Filed under: uncultured bacterium
Lineage: Bacteria
Description: bacterial SSU rRNA
Rfam family: Bacterial small subunit ribosomal RNA
Source: RNAcentral